GCAUGUAUAUCUAAUACGAAAACAACAGGUUCAAAAACAGAUUGGAAAACAGAUAAUAAUAGAAAUUCGAUACCAUGUUUUACCCAAAUGGAUCACAGUGGUAGCUGGUUACGGCAAUCCUACGCUGGACACUUUGUGAUCAUGUGCAUGUCUGGUCCAUCAGAAUGGCCUUAAGGCUUAAACCCGCUAUAUUGUAGCCUUGAUUAUCAAAUAAAAGGAAAUAAAAGAUCAAAGGGACUAUUUCCCGAAACGGAA
Patella vulgata (common limpet) is the source of this 255-nucleotide long non-coding RNA. RefSeq lists it as uncharacterized. The transcript is spliced from 2 exons. The record is from RefSeq and is a predicted model, not a curated record. NCBI's taxonomy places the organism in Eukaryota, Metazoa, Mollusca, Gastropoda, Patellidae.